Molecule: non-coding RNA, 86 nt
Organism: Trichophaea hybrida
Lineage: Eukaryota; Fungi; Ascomycota; Pezizomycetes; Pezizales; Pyronemataceae
Source: the annotation of a GenBank genome assembly
UCCCCCGUGGCGCAAUUGGCUAGCGCGUCCGACUGUUAGAAACAUCUGCGAUCGGGAGGUUGGUGGUUCAAGCCCACCCGGAGGAG